This 253-nucleotide ribosomal RNA is filed under the name uncultured bacterium. RNAcentral's name for it is "partial 16S ribosomal RNA". It matches the Rfam family "Bacterial small subunit ribosomal RNA", at positions 524 to 776 of the family's 1533-position model. The record is from RNAcentral.
UACGUAGGGACCAAGCGUUGUUCGGAUUUACUGGGCGUAAAGGGCGCGUAGGCGGCAAUUCAAGUCAGCUGUGAAAUCUCCGGGCUUAACUCGGAACGGUCAGCUGAUACUGCUUUGCUAGAGUGCAGAAGGGGCAAUCGGAAUUCUCGGUGUAGCGGUGAAAUGCGUAGAUAUCGAGAGGAACACCUGCGGCGAAGGCGGGUUGCUGGGCUGACACUGACGCUGAUGCGCGAAAGCCAGGGGAGCGAACGGG